GACGAACCGUGCAAACGUUGUUCGGAAUCACUGGGCUUAAAGGGCGCGUAGGCGGCUUGCCAAGUCAGGGGUGAAAUCUUUCGGCUUAACCGGAAAAGUGCCUUUGAUACUGGCGAGCUCGAGGGAGGUAGGGGUGUGUGGAACUUCUGGUGGAGCGGUGAAAUGCGUUGAUAUCAGAAGGAACGCCGGUGGCGAAAGCGACGCACUGGACCUCUUCUGACGCUGAGGCGCGAAAGCUAGGGGAGCAAACGGG
RNAcentral lists this ribosomal RNA (253 nucleotides) under uncultured bacterium. Its description in RNAcentral is "partial 16S ribosomal RNA". It matches the Rfam family "Bacterial small subunit ribosomal RNA", at positions 524 to 776 of the family's 1533-position model. The record is from RNAcentral.